GUUGAAUAUGCGCUGAAUUUUCCCAUAACGGAAAAACGGGGGAACCAACAUGACCGCCAGCCGGUCAAGGGGUGAAUCGGAACCGAAAUGUUCGGUCCGUAGGGCUUCCACAGUCCGAAUCCGCCAGCUAACCUCGUAAGCCACAGUGGAUAAUGAU
RNAcentral lists this small RNA (157 nucleotides) under Paenibacillus stellifer. RNAcentral describes it as "c-di-AMP sequence". It matches the Rfam family "c-di-AMP riboswitch aptamer (ydaO/yuaA leader)". Rfam says of the family: This family represents a conserved RNA structure found upstream of the ydaO and yuaA genes in Bacillus subtilis and related genes in other bacteria. The ydaO/yuaA element is thought to act as a genetic "off" switch for the ydaO and yuaA genes in its native state. The record is from Rfam by way of RNAcentral. Lineage: Bacteria; Bacillati; Bacillota; Bacilli; Caryophanales; Paenibacillaceae.